UGGCUGAAUGAAAGGCGAUAGAUUGUAAAUCUAUAAAUGGAAAGGAAACCCCUUAGCCAA
Molecule: transfer RNA, 60 nt
Filed under: Halocaridina rubra (Hawaiian volcano shrimp)
Lineage: Eukaryota; Metazoa; Arthropoda; Malacostraca; Decapoda; Atyidae
Description: tRNA-Tyr
Source: RNAcentral